UACGGGGGGGGCAAGCGUUGUUCGGAAUUACUGGGCGUAAAGGGCUCGUAGGCGGCCAACUAAGUCAGACGUGAAAUCCCUCGGCUUAACCGGGGAACUGCGUCUGAUACUGGAUGGCUUGAGAUUGGGAGAGGGAUGCGGAAUUCCAGGUGUAGCGGUGAAAUGCGUAGAUAUCAGGAGGAACACCGGUGGCGAAGGCGGGUCUCUGGGCAGUAACUGACGCUGAGGAGCGAAAGCGUGGGGAGCGAACAGG
RNAcentral lists this ribosomal RNA (253 nucleotides) under uncultured bacterium. RNAcentral's name for it is "partial 16S ribosomal RNA". It matches the Rfam family "Bacterial small subunit ribosomal RNA", at positions 524 to 776 of the family's 1533-position model. The record is from RNAcentral.